This 337-nucleotide ribosomal RNA is filed under the name Cyphoderris monstrosa. RNAcentral describes it as "partial 12S ribosomal RNA". The record is from RNAcentral. Lineage: Eukaryota; Metazoa; Arthropoda; Insecta; Orthoptera; Prophalangopsidae.
AGUAUUAGAUAUGAUCUUGAAACUCAAAGAAUUUGGCGGUGUUUUAGUCUUUUCAGAGGAAUCUGUCCCGUAAUCGAUAAUUCACGUUUAUUUUACUUGGUUUUGUAAUUUUGCAGUAUGUAUACCGCCGUCAUAAGAUUAUCUUUUUAGAGUAUAAAUUUUCUUGGUUUUUAAUUAAGAGUUAUGUCAGGUCAAGGUGCAGUUUAUAAUUAAGUGGAGAUGGAUUACAAUAAAUUUAUUUAUAUUUUACGAAUUUUUAAUUGAAAUAUUGGAAUGAAGGUGGAUUUGAAAGUAAUUUUAUUUAUUAUAUUAAUUUGAUUUUGGCUCUAAAGCAUGU